UGCAAGCCGAGCGGUAUUGUUUCUUCGGAAAUGAGAGAGCGGCGUACGGGUGCGGAACACGUGUGCAACCUGCCUUUAUCUGGAGGAUAGCCUUUCGAAAGGAAGAUUAAUACUCCAUAAUAUAUUGAUUGGCAUCAAUUAAUAUUGAAAGCUCCGGCGGAUAGAGAUGGGCACGCGCAAGAUUAGCUAGUUGGUGAGGUAACGGCUCACCAAGGCGAUGAUCUUUAGGGGGCCUGAGAGGGUGAUCCCCCACACUGGUACUGAGACACGGACCAGACUCCUACGGGAGGCAGCAGUGAGGAAUAUUGGUCAAUGGGUGCAAGCCUGAACCAGCCAUCCCGCGUGAAGGACGACUGCCCUAUGGGUUGUAAACUUCUUUUGUAUAGGGAUAAACCUACCCUCGUGAGGGUAGCUGAAGGUACUAUACGAAUAAGCACCGGCUAACUCCGUGCCAGC
RNAcentral lists this ribosomal RNA (456 nucleotides) under activated sludge bacterium OC12. RNAcentral describes it as "bacterial SSU rRNA". It matches the Rfam family "Bacterial small subunit ribosomal RNA", at positions 56 to 512 of the family's 1533-position model. The record is from RNAcentral.